Molecule: unclassified non-coding RNA, 1412 nt
Filed under: Hevea brasiliensis (rubber tree)
Lineage: Eukaryota; Viridiplantae; Streptophyta; Magnoliopsida; Malpighiales; Euphorbiaceae
Source: RNAcentral
GAGAGAGAGAGAGAGAGGAGCAAAACAAGAUACUUAAGUUCCAACUUUCCUAGCUUGACAUUCCUACUUAUUGAAGCUAUAAACCCUACAAUAAAGUACUAGUGAUCUCUGAUGGCUUAAACUCGUAUGCUAUUGUUUUUAUUGGUAACUACAAUGCAAACAUACUAGGUCACUGAGGUCAAGGGGCUUGGUUAUUAUAGAGACAAGUUGAUGCACAGCCACCUAAAGAAAUUAUGUGUAAUGGUUGCAAUCACAUACCUAUUCAUUGAAAUUGAGUUGAAACCAAUAAAAAAAAUGAUAAUUUAAUUGAAACCAUUCAUAUAUGGAUACAAGCUGAAAGAAUACUAGUGCUAUUCGGCAAUUAUUUUUCAGAGAUCCAUAAAUCAAUCCUUUGAACCAAAAAGGGGGGGAAACUAGCAAAUCUCUUAUUCUAGCGUUCUUACAAUACUACAUUGGCUAUUAGGGCUUGCUCUUUGAUAAUAGUAUAGCAUAAUUGUGCCAGAAAUAGAUAGUUAUAGAUAUUUAGGCGUAUGUUAAAAGUAUGAUGUUUAAUAUUUCAGGUUCAACUUUUGGAUUCUAACUAACAUAGCCAGUAGACUAAACUUCUGUUUUAUACGAGAAAUAUUUCAAUAAUCAAUUUCAUGGGAUGAAUAAAGCCACAUAGUCUCUUGAUAUCGGAUACAACUAUUUAUAAAGGGUUUAAAGUAUAAAAUAGAAACAUAAACCAGUCCAUUACUCAAAAUGAAAUUGGCAAGUCUUCAAAUGACAAUUUUCCCUAAUUUUGUUAAAUAAUUUCCUUAUCAAUAGAGAAAAUAUAAAACAAUAAAUGAAAAAAAAUAGAGACAAUGCAGAAGAAUUUGUCUCCAACGAAAGGGGGAAAAUAAUAGUAGGCUUAGGUAAUCCCCAUAGGACUACCAAUUUCUGAUACCAAAUUGGCACGUACUGACAUACAACAGUAAGAUUCUAUUUCAAAGCAUCUUUGACAAACAAACAUAAACAAGAACAAUUAAUACCUAGAAUCAACAGUUCAAAUUGAAUGAUUUGUGUGCUCUACACUUGGAAAAAAGAAAUCCUAGUUGAACAAUGUAAUGCCAAGAGAAAAUUCAGGUUUGAUCUUGGAUAUAGCAAAGUUUUUAAAGGCCAAGGGGCGGAGGAGAUGGUAAAUCCAGAAAGAAUUAGCUCUCUAAUGAAUUGCAUUCGGAAGGGAGAGGUCUCCAAGCAAUUUUAGUAAUAUGGCAACAAUAAGUCACAUGCUGGACAAAAUCCAGCAAGAGAAUGACAUAUCAACUCAUAAGAUCCUGUUACAACUUACAACAAGAUCAAACUAAUGACUUCAGCAUAUGCAUUUAUUCAGUAAACUGUAAACAAAAUCUAACAAAGGGAAAUACCUUUGAAAUGCACAUAAAAUAUCU